RNAcentral lists this ribosomal RNA (497 nucleotides) under uncultured Glomeromycotina. Its description in RNAcentral is "partial small subunit ribosomal RNA". It matches the Rfam family "Eukaryotic small subunit ribosomal RNA", at positions 591 to 1092 of the family's 1831-position model. The record is from RNAcentral. Lineage: Eukaryota; Fungi; Glomeromycota.
CCAAUAGCGUAUAUUAAAGUUGUUGCAGUUAAAAAGCUCGUAGUUGAAUUUCAGGCCUGGCUGGGCGGUCCGCCCUUCGGGUGAGUACUGCCUGUGGUCGGGUCCUACCUUCUGGCGAAGCGUCAUGGCCUUCACCGGCCGUGGCGGGGAACCAGGACUUUUACUGUGAAAAAAUUAGAGUGUUCAAAGCAGGCAAUCGCUUGGAUACAUUAGCAUGGAAUAAUGGAAUAGGACAGUGGUUCUAUUUGUUGGUUUCUAGGACCGUUGUAAUGAUUAAUAGGGAUAGUUGGGGGCAUUAGUAUUCAAUUGUCAGAGGUGAAAUUCUUGGAUUUAUUGAAGACUAACUACUGCGAAAGCAUUUGCCAAGGAUGUUUUCAUUAAUCAAGAACGAAAGUUAGGGGAUCGAAGACGAUCAGAUACCGUCGUAGUCUUAACCAUAAACUAUGCCGACUAGGAAUCGGGCGAUGUUGACAAAAUGACGCGCUCGGCACCUCAUG